RNAcentral lists this ribosomal RNA (494 nucleotides) under uncultured bacterium. RNAcentral's name for it is "partial 16S ribosomal RNA". It matches the Rfam family "Bacterial small subunit ribosomal RNA", at positions 28 to 507 of the family's 1533-position model. The record is from RNAcentral.
GACGAACGCUGGCGGCGCGCUUAACACAUGCAAGUCGAACGGAAAGGCCUGCUUUCCCUUGUGGAUUGCGGGUACUCGAGUGGCGAACGGGUGAGUAACACGUGAGUGAUCUGCCCCCAACUUGGGUAUAAGCCUGGGAAACUGGGUCUAAUUCCCGAUAGGACUGCAGGGUGGUGCCUGUGGUGGAACACGAUUUUCUAGUGGUUGGGGAUGAGCUCGCGGCCUAUCAGCUUGUUGGUGGGGUAAUGGCCUACCAAGGCGGCGACGGGUAGCCGGCCUGAGAGGGUGGACGGCCACAUUGGGACUGAGAUACGGCCCAGACUCCUACGGGAGGCAGCAGUGGGGAAUAGUGCACGAUGGGCGGAAGCCUGAUGCAGCGACGCCGCGUGGGGGAUGACGGCCUUCGGGUUGUAAACUCCUUUCGACCGCGAGGAAGCCACCUGGUUGGAAGGGUGGUGACGGUAGUGGUAGAAGAAGCACCGGCUAACUACGUG